CUGGAGGUUUGGAGCUGCCACCGGCUGGUGUUCAUUGUGCUGAAGGGGCGCAGAACAGAAAACACACGGAGGAGUAAAAAUAGUUUCUCGCUUGGUCUGGAGUGAUGUUUCGAAAGACUGCUGGGUUAUAAGGAUGUACAAGAUGUUGCAGAGGUAGAACAUCUUCAACCGUUGGCUUUUACCUUUUGCAUUAGGACAAGUAGUACCGCUCUUUCUCCUCCCUGUUAAAUGAGUGAUGAAGAAGAUGAUGAUCCAGGCCUCCUGUAGGAAAGGUGUGCAGGUGUGUUUAAUCCUCCUGAUGGUGGGAAGACUACAGGGUGUUUCAGGAAGGGUAACAGCAUCAGCGCGUUUAGAAGCUCCAGUGGAGAAGCCCUUCACUCUCACUUGCAGUGUCUUGAGGGAACGAGGUGAGUCUCUGAGGCAGGUGCGUUGGCUGGACGUCCAAAACCAGACCCUGCUAAGCUACCAACCCGGCAACAAAGACAGUGUGAGUGGACAGCAGUAUGUGGAGCUCGCCUCCUCCCCAAAAGACACCUCAGCCAUCACCAUCAGUAGGGUGGGUUUCCGUGACGAAGGCUGCUACACCUGCAUCUUUGACAUGCAUCCUUCCGGUUCAAAGCAGGGACAGACGUGCCUCACUGUUACCUCUCAAGUCACCGUUGAAAGCAACAAGACAGCAGUGAGCGGCAAGAAGGCCUCCCUCUCGUGCUCCUACGGUUUGCCUGAGAAGGUUCAACAGAUCAUAUGGAAACACACGUCUGCACAAGGUGACUCCACAGAGGUGGCCUCCUUCGCAAAGCGGAGCGACCCCAUGAUAGAGCCAUCGUUCCAGGGAAGAGUCUGGCUGAGUGCCUCUCUGUCAGAGAGUCAGCUCACCAUCCAGCCUGUCGCUAUCCAGGAUGAGGGCUGCUACACCUGCCUGUACAACACACAUCUCGACGGGCCGAAGACGUCCACAGUUUGCCUCGUCACCUAUGUGCUGCCCAAACCUCAGGUGAGCUACAAGACCACCUCUCCCGGUGUGAUCGAAGCCAACUGCACCUCAGUGUCACGGCCCCCAGCAGAGAUAGUGUGGAACGUGGAGAGGGAUAACCGCACCAUGGGCCCCCCUGUGACAACACAGCUCCCACAGGGCGAUGGGACCACUCUGGUCAUCAGUACGCUGACUGUCCGAUCUGGGCUGCUGAAAGAUGUGUCCAUCAAAUGCUUGGUGCACCACAAAGGGCUUGAGUCACCGAUUGCUGUAUCCAUGAACACUAAAAUUGGGACGGCUCUCACCAUCCUGAUCUCUGUCACUACGGUGGCUGCCCUGUUGGUCAUGUCCCUCUGCUUCUGCCUUUGGAAGUGUUUCUUGCACAAAGAAGCAGACUUUUACACAGGAGACGUUCCUCAUAUGUGAGGUGUGCCAUCGGACCCUUCUCCCACUGCCGCCUCUUACUCCGAUAAAGGCUUCAUGUUGAAACCUGAUUAAUCUCUCAGAGGAGACCAGACGCUGAAAAGAAGGGGCAGUGUUUCUCAGAGUCAACCUUUGCAGAAUUGUUUCCUCUGCAUCAUCAUCAUCAUUAUCAUCAUCAUCAUCUUGGUACAAAGGGAAGAUGUUCUGACACACAUCUAUAGGAUGACAAAUACAAUCCUAUUCAUGAACGCCAACUGUACAAUGAUAUGUAUCUCUUCUGCCUCUGCCCCCGACUCUUAUAUAAUCUCCAGGCUGUCCUCACAUGAAGUCAAUAAGGAAACAUUUUCUCUCUGGCUCUGUAACUGAUUGACUCGAUGGCCACACUCUCUACAACAUACAGCAGAGUCACUCUGUGGCAAAUUAAAGUCCAAUAUUGUCCUUUAAAUACUUCCCUCUGUUUGUCUCCGUCUUUUACCUGGUCCUGAAAGGAUAAGUGUGGUGAUAAUACAUUUUUCUUAUUCAACAAAUCCUAUGAAAAGACUAAAACCAACAAUGAAUUGAUUCCAGUAACAACCAUAGUCUGUGUAACAGUCUGAUACAGCAUGGCCCUGCAUUGUUGUUCGAAAACUGUUAACAAAAACUCAUUAUGAGCUACGUGACGCACCGAUGACUAGAACAUGGGCACUGUAAUUAAUAUACAGCUGAAAAUAGUCCCCAACAAAUAUCCGGUUUAGCAGACUUUCAGUAAUAAUUGUUAAAAACUACAGUGCCUUAAAAAAAUGAUUAUUUCAUUCAAGGCUCACAUCUUAGUUACAGUAGUUCCCCUGACAAACUAGCAUUGUGGAGGACACCUUUUUCUGUAUUUUAAUGGGAUUUGUUUUUCAGUAGGAAAAAUAAAGAAUAUGGUGAGCUGUAUCCUUUAAAUAACAAAGCUAAUUGAAAGUAUAAGAUCACCAUUAAGGUUUUACUUGUCAGCCGAAGGCCUACGUCACUUCUGUAUAUUGUUAAAGCUGGGUGAGGUCUUCACUUGUUCAACUAAGAGGGAUGUAUACUUAUGUCUUCUUUGUGUAAUAUCUAUUGCAAACUUUUCUACAUGUUUCAACGUCUGUGUGUGCCUGUGUGUGCGUGUGUGUGUGUGCCUGUGUGUGCGUGUGUGUGUGUGCGUGUGUGUGCGUGUGUGUGCGUGUGUGUGUGUGUGUGCUUAUUGGUUAGGGGUUAAAUUCUACGGUCAGGUAGCUUGAAUCAAUUUCCCGAGGAAGCAACACUGAAACCUUUUUGGUGCCCCUGAAAGGAAUGCAUGUCUUGCUGCCUUCGUGAGUACACAGGUCGGGGUGUGGAGAAUUGGUUUAGGGGUUUGAUAAUGGUUAAAUGCCAAAAUGCUCAUUUGUACAUUGCUCUGGAUCAAAGUGGCACCUAAAUGCCUACAAUAUAGUGAAGAUAUUAGGUUAUAUCAUGUUUGCAUCUGUACAGUGUACAAUGUAAGCUUUAUGAUGAAAUAUUAUUGUAUAUCAAAGCAUAUGAAUCGGUCAGUUAUGAACAGAAGGAGAUGCUGGUUAUCAGAUUUCAAACCUAUUGCUUCAGUUGGGCUCAUCACAUUCCUCACCAUUAACAAGACUUUAGGCAGCAUUCCUCUGUCAGUAGAGCUUCACUAUGCAUACAACACUGAUUAUAAGCUCAGAGUUUAUACAUUAGAAUAAUUAUGGAUGUGGAAAUGUGGUUUCAGAACAUUUGUUGGAAAUACAUUAAAAUGUAUCUGGCCCUGUAGCAGAGCAACUACAGUCAAGAAAAUAUGAAAUCAUGCAUUAUGACCGACUACGUAAAGUGUAUGUAAUGAAUGCAACAAAUAGAAAAAUAAAGAUAUUUCAAAAGUA
Anarrhichthys ocellatus (wolf-eel) is the source of this 3267-nucleotide RNA transcript. It is a transcript of the gene named OX-2 membrane glycoprotein, with no coding region annotated. NCBI's taxonomy places the organism in Eukaryota, Metazoa, Chordata, Actinopteri, Perciformes, Anarhichadidae. The transcript has 8 exons. The record is from RefSeq and is a predicted model, not a curated record.